AGUGCAAUGAGACAGGCAGCGAAAUCCUUAGACAACAUUCUAAUCUUGAUUUCACUAAAGAAAACUGCAAAGAGAAAAUGAUUACCUUUAACAACAAUCACAUGGAGAGUGUUAUGGGGUGUUUCCAACCAAAAGAAUACGAGGGAAGCGGCGCUUCCAACGCUUCUAAUGACGGCACGCCACUGAUACAAAUGAUUUUAUUUAUAACAACUUUUACAAUCAAAGUACUCUUUUCAUUUACAGAAAUGCUUUAAAAACUGGACAGAUUUAAACAGUCUGAAGAUAUUAAAAUUUCAAUAAUUUGUUGAAUUUAAUUGCUGAAAAUUUGGUUUAGAUAAUGUUAAACAUUUAUAAAAUAAUUGUA
Long non-coding RNA from Centruroides sculpturatus (bark scorpion), 364 nucleotides. RefSeq lists it as uncharacterized. NCBI's taxonomy places the organism in Eukaryota, Metazoa, Arthropoda, Arachnida, Scorpiones, Buthidae. The record is from RefSeq and is a predicted model, not a curated record. The transcript is spliced from 5 exons.